GUACGGUGUUGUGGGAAACGCAAUUUCGUCUGUCCGAAAUCGUACGAAAUCGAAUGUCCAUAAUACCGCGAGAGCUCGAUUUGUCGUUUGUUAUUCGCGGCGAUGUUUUUCGGCAGAUGGGAUAACGACGGGUUUCAAAGUUCAACCUGCACGUUACAAGAUGGAUCGCGAGUUUUGUUAUUGAAAAAAUGUAAUUUAAAUUUUGUUUUUUUUUUUUUUUAAUUUCUUUAAUAGGUCAAACUCCCAUAAAUAUAUUCAUCGCCGUAAUACCGUUAUUCGUGUACUGUAAGGUUACUGUUUUUUUUUUUUUUUUUUUUUUUAGUCUGAUGGUUUUCGAAUCGAAUUUUCAUUACGCAUACCUAAUUUUAUUUGUUUGUAUUUAUUCUUCGCGCGAUUCGUUUUAAUCAACGGAUUAUUACCGAUGCAACUUUUUCGACGAUGAACCGCGCCCGCGAAGUAAUACGCAACUCGAUAACGGAUUUUACAAUAAUAGCGUAGUUUACACGUGAAAAGCGACACUCGCUGGCGUUUCGAAAACAUAAAAUAGGCAGUAAAAAAUGUUAAUAAACAGUUUUUCUCGCCGAGAGUUCGUGGGCCCCGUAAAUAAAUCAAAACCGUUACGCGAGGUAUUGUUGAAUGUUAUUGUUUUGCUGCAGCUCGUCCGCGCAUAUAAAUGCAAAUUCGAAAAACGCGGACGAGCUCUUAUAUAAUAUCCGGUUUAAUAUUAUUACUGUAGGCGUGACGGAACCGAACGAAACAAAUCCGUUUGCGUUGAAAACAACAAUACGUAAAAAGCCGGACCGCACUUCACUACGCCGUCGUCAAUAGAUCAUCGCGCUUGUAAUGCGUAGACAGCUUUGAAAACGGUACAGGACAAUACGCAUUUCG
Non-coding RNA from Cinara cedri, 888 nucleotides. The record is from the annotation of a GenBank genome assembly. NCBI's taxonomy places the organism in Eukaryota, Metazoa, Arthropoda, Insecta, Hemiptera, Aphididae.